RNAcentral lists this long non-coding RNA (1035 nucleotides) under Homo sapiens (human). RNAcentral describes it as "HSALNT0287903". The record is from RNAcentral. Lineage: Eukaryota; Metazoa; Chordata; Mammalia; Primates; Hominidae.
AUUACAGGAGGAAAUCUCUUCACUGCUGGCACUGACAAUGGAAGACUGAGGGUGCCCGGGAUCCUUCACCCCCACAUCCAGUGAGUCCACGGAACCCAGGGUAACUGGGAUGGUAUCUGGACAAAAUUUGGGGCAUAUUUGUUUCUCUCGACCUGAUUUCUGCAGAAUUUGGAAACUAUUUGAAUCAAACUUGACUUAUGGAGCCAAUAAAGCCCUUGGAGAAGCUGGCGUCAUAUUUUAUAUACACAGUCCCUGUACAGGGUUUCUGACCUGUGCACUGAAAGCUAAGCUGUGCUUUCAGAAAUCCCUGAGAACUGAAGCUAGACAACUUAAUCUUCAGAAGAAAAUAACAGCAACCUAUUUAUGUACAUAAGCCACUUUCAUACCUGCCUACUGAUAUAUGGACUUCAGAGUAUUGUGGACUAUAUUGAUUUUCCAGAAUUGUUCUUUUGUUUGUUAUUACUUUUCUCCCUUUCUCCCCCUGUUUUUUUUUUCACAACAAAUUGCUUUUAUUUUGGUAUGCAUCCACAUUUCAGCAUUUAGUGGUCCUGAACAGAAAGUGGAAAGACACAGCAAUUCAAUCCCCCCAAUUUUGGGGAUCUGCUGUGCACACUAGGUUCUUUCUUAAUCCCUGCUGAGGAACUUGAGAAGCAGCAGCAGCACCAAAACCAAGGCAUGCACCGGAUUCAAGGUUCUUUUUGUUCCAGUUGUCAGAUUCCAAACUAGACCCCAAUGUAUUGCAAGUAUGACCAAAUAAAAGCCCUGUUUAAAACUUCUUCUUUUUCUUUUCUUUUUUUUUUUUUUGAGACAGAGUUUCACUCUUGUUGCCUAGGCUGGAGUGCAAUGGCACGAUCUCAGCUCACUGCAACCUCUGCCACCUGGGUUCAAGCAAUUCUCCUGCCUUAGCCUCCCAGGUAGUGGGAUUACAAGCAUGUGCCGCCACACCCAGCUAAUUUUGUAUUUUUAGUACAGAUGGGGUGUCACCAUGUUGGUCAGGCUGGUCUCGAACUCCUCACCUCAGGUGAUCCACCUGCC